This is a long non-coding RNA of Ruditapes philippinarum (Manila clam), 840 nucleotides long. RefSeq lists it as uncharacterized. Lineage: Eukaryota; Metazoa; Mollusca; Bivalvia; Venerida; Veneridae. The record is from RefSeq and is a predicted model, not a curated record. The transcript is spliced from 2 exons.
AACUUUAAAACUUAAUUGAAUCAACAUUAAUUAAUUCGUCCAAAUGAGCGUGUGACAUAUACGUUCGUGACAUCUACGGUCCGACAAAGCACAUUAGCAGUAACUAAAGAUAUCAUAAGAACUAUAGGACAUCUUCAGAGUUAUCAUAAAAACUCAUUUGACAAAAUAGGGAAUAACUCAAGGAAUAAUUUACAUAUUAAUACUACUGUCUCGAAACAUUCCUCCUCAUGCUUAAAUUUUAAUAUUACUCUCUUGCGAAAAUUGAAAAUAGUCUGUUUUCCACGCAUGGCUUUCUUUAAAUAAAAUCAAAUUCAUAAUGAUGAUACAUAAACAGUUUUUUCGAUAGGUACAUUUAUACAUUUCAGAAGUGUACAUGCAAUGCAAACGCUGAAAUGGUAUGCUAUACAAUAUCAUGCGCUAUUCCACGAUGUCUGGUAGGUGAACCGGAAACAUUGCCUGGAUAUUGCUGUCCAUCUUGUCCAGACAAAGUGGAUUUACCAACAAUCAGUAACUGUCCGACAUAUGUUUUAAGCGUUAAUGUCGCGAUCGCCAGCGAAUCUGCAAUUCUGAGUAAAAGUAUAACCACAAUAAAAGCGUAUGAUUCCGACGGAAAUAAACUAAAGGUAGAUUUUUCAUAUUAUGGUCUAUGGUGAUGGUGGCACAGCAAAUAUCUUAUUGAAAUGUUUGUUUUCCAAAGAAAUUUUACUAUACGAAUAAGCCUUUCGUAAUAUAUUUGUUCGUAAAUACUUAAUCUAUUUAUAUUCAAAAUAUAUCUCAUUGUAGAUAAUCCUUCCGUUUAAUGUAUUUUUAAUGCAGAAACAAACAAAAAUAAAAAAAGAA